Molecule: ribosomal RNA, 649 nt
Filed under: uncultured bacterium
Lineage: Bacteria
Description: bacterial SSU rRNA
Rfam family: Bacterial small subunit ribosomal RNA
Source: RNAcentral
GGAUAACACUUAGAAAUAGGUGCUAAUACCGCAUAAGCGCACAGCUUCGCAUGAAGCAGUGUGAAAAACUCCGGUGGUAUACGAUGGAUCCGCGUCUGAUUAGCUGGUUGGCGGGGUAAAGGCCCACCAAGGCGACGAUCAGUAGCCGGCCUGAGAGGGUGAACGGCCACAUUGGGACUGAGACACGGCCCAAACUCCUACGGGAGGCAGCAGUGGGGAAUAUUGCACAAUGGGGGAAACCCUGAUGCAGCGACGCCGCGUGAGUGAAGAAGUAUUUCGGUACGUAAAGCUCUAUCAGCAGGGAAGAAAAUGACGGUACCUGACUAAGAAGCCCCGGCUAACUACGUGCCAGCAGCCGCGGUAAUACGUAGGGGGCAAGCGUUAUCCGGAUUUACUGGGUGUAAAGGGAGCGUAGACGGCAGCGCAAGUCUGGAGUGAAAUCCCAUGGCUUAACCAUGGAACUGCUUUGGAAACUGUGCAGCUGGAGUGCAGGAGAGGUAAGCGGAAUUCCUAGUGUAGCGGUGAAAUGCGUAGAUAUUAGGAGGAACACCAGUGGCGAAGGCGGCUUACUGGACUGUAACUGACGUUGAGGCUCGAAAGCGUGGGGAGCAAACAGGAUUAGAUACCCUGGUAGUCCACGCUGUAAACG